GGAGGCUCUUUGUCUCCUCAUAGUUUGACCUCAAAAGUUCACCGAAAGACAACAAAUCUUCAGAUACCAGAAGCUUGUCGAACAAUGCAGCAAUGCCUGGGUCUCCUUUGGCGAACACCAUCUCAACCAAAUCAAUAGUUACCCUAAAGAAUGGCCAUGCAUUGUACAUUUCCUGCAGCAUGCGGAGGUUCUUGAUAUCCUUUUCGAUGGCAUACUUAAAUGCUGCUCCAAAGCCGAGCCAGACUGGAAGAUGGAAUCUAGUUUGAGUCCAAGCAAAGAUCCAAGGAAUAGCUCUAAGUGAUUCUAUGCCUCCGCUGGGUUUACGCUUUGAUGGACGGCUGCCAAUGUUCAUUCGACCAUACUCUAACUCAGGUGUGGCCAGGCGGAAAUACUCGACAAAUCGGGGUUCCUUAAAAACUAUUGAUCGAUACUUUUCUGUAGCAACAACUGCAAUUUCGUCCAUAAGUGCACGCCAUUCUGGUUUUGGAGAGACUGGUGGAUGCAUCCCAUGUUCAAGUGUAGCAGCAGUAUAACGUUGGAGUGUCCUAAAACACA
This 555-nucleotide unclassified non-coding RNA is filed under the name Hevea brasiliensis (rubber tree). Lineage: Eukaryota; Viridiplantae; Streptophyta; Magnoliopsida; Malpighiales; Euphorbiaceae. The record is from RNAcentral.